Heterocephalus glaber (naked mole-rat) is the source of this 2456-nucleotide long non-coding RNA. The record is from Ensembl. NCBI's taxonomy places the organism in Eukaryota, Metazoa, Chordata, Mammalia, Rodentia, Bathyergidae.
GCCCACGGGAAGUGACGCACGCUGCCACGAGGUCAGCGUCCUCCGCACGAGCGCGGCCCUCGCUACAAAGGACUCGCCCCUCUGCCGCCGACUCUCUCGAAUCUGUCUCAUCUCUCUUGACUCGGCUGCCCUGGUCCUUAAUCGCUGCGCCCCAGCUCCCUCGCGCUGGAGCCUAGACCUGGCCCGGGCUCGCGUAGUGCGGCCUGCGCGUCGCCCGGACUCGACCUCCCCCCCGGGGUGACGCACUUCCGGCGCGACGGAGCCGCGGAGACGGCAGGCCCUCCCGACCCGCAGCGGUGCCGGCGCAGGAAGAAUGGCGAGCUCCUUCCCCCGGCGCCGCGGCGGGGCGGAAAGAAAGCCGACCUGCUGGCUUCCCGACCUUUUGAGCCAAGAGACCUCUUCCACAAGCUUCCUCAGGGCCAGGUUCUCGAGCGACACUCUGAAGGUGGCGUUUUUAAUCAGCAGGUGGGCGCCGAGGAAGCAGGCCUGUGGCGGCCAACGGUAGGAAACCUCCGGCCGCGACCGGCGGGUCCUGGCGGCCGCUGCGCGCCCCUCGAGCCCGGCCUGCCUGGCCUCGUUUCGCACAGAGCUCUCCAGCCCCAAGUUACCGUCCCCGAGCCUCGCUUGAGCCGAGCUUGGCCGUCUGCUCACGCCAGUGCCUGUGCAUUGCUGAGAACCCAGCUCCAGCCUGGGGACCUGGACCAAGAAAUUUCAGUCUUUGCAUGGUUGGAGGCAUGAUAGAACGGCCUGGCCAGAAGAAAACUGCUCAUCUCAUGGCAGAUAGGAAGCAAGAGAGAAGAAAAGGAGGAGCUGGGGAGGGAGAUACACCCUUCUAGAUCAUACCGCCAGGACCUACCUCUUCCAAUCAGACCCCACCUUGCAAUAGCAAGUCACCCAUAUAUCUCCAUAUUCCAAUCCCCUUCCAAACACCUGAAGCCUUGAGGAUCAUUUUAGAUCUAAACUCUUACAGUACCCAAGGCCUGAAUUGUAGUAGUUCACAUGUCAGAGGAAAAGGGUUCAGCCUGAGGUAGAAGUGACAGAGAUGGAGACAGAAGGAGAAAUUUGAGGUAUAUUUUGCAGAUAGAAAUGACACUCCUCAUAAGCAUGUGGGAGAGGAAAAUGUUUUUGUCUCCCCUUUCAGGCAUAUUGGAAGUUACAUUUCCAUUCUCUACAUACCUCCCCCACACACCUGUAUGUUACUGGGAAUUAAACCCAGGGUCUUCAUACUGAGCUACAUUUUCACACCAUUUUAUUUUUUAUUUUAUUUUUUAUUUUAUUUUAUUUUUCAGACAGUAGAUGGAGUGAUUGAUCAGGGUUUAAUGAUUUUUGGAUCUCCUUUUCCUUGGAGGUGAGGUGGGGACACAUAAUAGGUUGAUAGAGAUAUUUCCCAUCUUCAAAAACCUUACUGAAAAUGAAACCAGAAAAUUCAUUUAAAGUUAUGAAAAAUACAUUGACUGACCUUUGAAGUUCAAGUAAGCCCAAAAUGAGCAGGAUAAUUAAGACAAGUGAAAAGGCUAAGAAAAUAUAUGAAGCUUGACUAAUAAGCAUGUUUAAAAUAAAUAAUGUAUUUUCAUGAGUUAUUGAUGAUCUUAUAAUUCACGAUUGCUGAGAAAUUAACAAAAGAUGAUUUAUAAAAGGUCAUCAAGAGCAUGUAAGAAGGCGACAGCUCAUUGCUUACCUUCUAAUUAGAGAUGUAGAAAGAAGAUAAGCAGAGGGAAAAAAGGGAGAAGGUAUACUAGAAAAGGGUAUAGACUCAUUUAAUAAUGACCCCACCCCUCAAGUUUUUAUCCUUCCAGCCAAUCAAAAAGUAAUGUACUGGGCCGGGGAUUUAGCUCAGUGGUGCUGCUGCCUGCCUCGCAAGCACAAGGUCCUGAGUUCAAUCCCCAGUGCCAAAAAAAAAAGUGAUGUACUAUAUAGGAAGUAAGAUCUUUGCAGAUGUAGUGAAUUGAGGCCAUACCAGAUUAGGGUGGGUCCUAAAUCUAGUAUUACUUGUGUUCUUACAAGAAGAGGGGGAAAAAAAAGAAAGAAGAGGGGAGAACACUGAGAUACUCGGAGACACACAGGGAAGAAACCCAUAUGACAAGAGGCAGAGGUGGAGUCAUAGAGCUUCAAGCCCAGAAGCCAGUUGCCAGCAGCCACCAGAAACUAAGAUACCCGUGAACCUUGUUCUUCCCAGAGCCUCAGAGCAAGCUCUGCCUCCCUGGCACCUUGACCCUAGCCUCUGGAAGAGGCCUGCUGUAGCACAUGUUUUGGCCACCACAGGCCCAAAGCAACAGGCCCAAAUGGCUGUGGAUGGAAACCUCCAAGAUGAGAUUGGAUCCAACACAUGGAGAACACCUUACCAGACCAUGUCCGCACCACAGCACCAGGUGUAAGAACAAUCUAUAUAGACUAUCUGACUCCACUCUCUCGCAUUAUUAUCAUUAUUAUCCCAUUGUGUAAAUAAGAAAACUGAA